RNAcentral lists this ribosomal RNA (465 nucleotides) under Vreelandella stevensii. RNAcentral's name for it is "partial 16S ribosomal RNA". It matches the Rfam family "Bacterial small subunit ribosomal RNA", at positions 338 to 795 of the family's 1533-position model. The record is from RNAcentral. Lineage: Bacteria; Pseudomonadati; Pseudomonadota; Gammaproteobacteria; Oceanospirillales; Halomonadaceae.
CCUACGGGUGGCAGCAGUGGGGAAUAUUGGACAAUGGGCGAAAGCCUGAUCCAGCCAUGCCGCGUGUGUGAAGAAGGCCUUCGGGUUGUAAAGCACUUUCAGUGGGGAAGAAAGCCUUGGGGCUAAUACCCUCGAGGAAGGACAUCACCCACAGAAGAAGCACCGGCUAACUCCGUGCCAGCAGCCGCGGUAAUACGGAGGGUGCGAGCGUUAAUCGGAAUUACUGGGCGUAAAGCGCGCGUAGGCGGUCUGAUAAGCCGGUUGCGAAAGCCCCGGGCUCAACCUGGGAACGGCAUCCGGAACUGUCAGGCUAGAGUGCAGGAGAGGAAGGUAGAAUUCCCGGUGUAGCAGUGAAAUGCGUAGAGAUCGGGAGGAAUACCAGUGGCGAAGGCGGCCUUCUGGACUGACACUGACGCUGAGGUGCGAAAGCGUGGGUAGCAAACAGGAUUAGAUACCCCUGUAGUC